GAGUUUGAUCCUGGCUCAGGAUGAACGCUGGCGGCGUGCUUAACACAUGCAAGUCGAACGGACUCAUAUUGAAACCUAGUGAAGUAUGAGUUAGUGGCGGACGGGUGAGUAACGCGUGGAAAACCUGCCGUAUACUGGGGGAUAACACUUAGAAAUAGGUGCUAAUACCGCAUAAGCGCACAGCUUCGCAUGAAGCAGUGUGAAAAACUGAGGUGGUAUACGAUGGUUCCGCGUCUGAUUAGCUAGUUGGUGGGGUAAAAGCCUACCAAGGCAACGAUCAGUAGCCGGCCUGAGAGGGUGAACGGCCACAUUGGGACUGAGACACGGCCCAAACUCCUACGGGAGGCAGCAGUGGGGAAUAUUGCACAAUGGGGGAAACCCUGAUGCAGCGACGCCGCGUGAGUGAAGAAGUAUUUCGGUAUGUAAAGCUCUAUCAGCAGGGAAGAAAUACUGACCAUAGGGUCAGCAGACGGUACUUGACUAAGAAGCCCCGGCUAACUACGUGCCAGCAGCCGCGGUAAUACGUAGGGGGCAAGCGUUAUCCGGAUUUACUGGGUGUAAAGGGAGCGUAGACGGCAGCGCAAGUCUGAAGUGAAAUGCCAGGGCUUAACCCUGGAACUGCUUUGGAAACUGUGCAGCUAGAGUGCA
RNAcentral lists this ribosomal RNA (648 nucleotides) under uncultured bacterium. RNAcentral describes it as "bacterial SSU rRNA". It matches the Rfam family "Bacterial small subunit ribosomal RNA", at positions 9 to 650 of the family's 1533-position model. The record is from RNAcentral.